GUGCUCAUUUUGGCAGUGCAUAUAGUAAAAUCAGAACAAAACAGAGAACAUUAGCAUGGCCUUUGUACAAGGAUGACACACAAGUUCAUAAAGCAUUCCAUAGUUUU
Small nuclear RNA from Suricata suricatta (meerkat), 107 nucleotides. NCBI's taxonomy places the organism in Eukaryota, Metazoa, Chordata, Mammalia, Carnivora, Herpestidae. The record is from Ensembl.